This 807-nucleotide ribosomal RNA is filed under the name Nodulisporium sp. JW60-1. RNAcentral describes it as "eukaryotic LSU rRNA". The stretch from base 500 to 807 matches the Rfam family "Eukaryotic large subunit ribosomal RNA", at positions 1 to 314 of the family's 3401-position model. Lineage: Eukaryota; Fungi; Ascomycota; Sordariomycetes; Xylariales; Xylariaceae. The record is from RNAcentral.
CGUAACAAGGUCUCCGUAGGUGAACCUGCGGAGGGAUCAUUAAAAAAAGAGUUGCAAGACUCGAAAACCAUCGCGAACAUACCUCUCGUCGUUGCUUCGGCGGGCUGCUCGCCAGGGCGCCCGCCGGAGGACCACCAAACUCUGUUUUCUUAGCGUAUCUCUGAGUGGACCACAAAAAUGAAUCAAAACUUUCAACAACGGAUCUCUUGGUUCUGGCAUCGAUGAAGAACGCAGCGAAAUGCGAUAAGUAAUGUGAAUUGCAGAAUUCAGUGAAUCAUCGAAUCUUUGAACGCACAUUGCGCCCGCCAGUAUUCUGGCGGGCAUGCCUGUCCGAGCGUCAUUUCAACCCCUCAAGCACUGCUUGGUGUUGGGGCCCCUACGUGCGCCGUAGGCCCCGAAUUCCAGUGGCGGGCUCGCCGCGAACCCGAGCGUAGUAGCUUUUGCCUCGCUCAGGGCCCGCGGCGGGCGCCUGCCGUGAAAGAACCCACAUUCUAAAGGUUGACCUCGGAUCAGGUAGGAAUACCCGCUGAACUUAAGCAUAUCAAUAAGCGGAGGAAAAGAAACCAACAGGGAUUGCCCCAGUAACGGCGAGUGAAGCGGCAACAGCUCAAAUUUGAAAUCUGGCCUCGGCCCGAGUUGUAAUUUGCAGAGGAUGCUUUUGGCGCGGCGCCUCCCGAGUCCCCUGGAACGGGGCGCCACAGAGGGUGAGAGCCCCGUAUGGUAGGACGCCUAGCCUGUGUAAAGCUCCUUCGACGAGUCGAGUAGUUUGGGAAUGCUGCUCAAAAUGGGAGGUAAAUUCCUUCUAAA